AUUCAAGUGUUAUCACCCAUAUCAUUGCUUAAUGAUUAUAUAGAGGUUAAAUGAUGAUACGUUCUAGGUAGUUGAUACAUCAUUUAAGAAGUUUACAAUUAUGGUUUAAAUCAUCGAAACAUUAUUGUCCCUUUUUAUAAGACUGUUUUACGAUUGUCAAUGACACUAAUUAAUUAAUUUUUUCCAAACUUACCCUUAUUUACAUUACAUAGUAUUUUGAAUAGCAUUAAAUUCAUUUUUGUUUGACACAUACAAUUAAUUGUAAAGAUAAACAUGGAAAAUCAAUAUAAUUUGACAAUCAAUUUAAUACUAAAAUCAAUUUUCUUAAUAUCCGUUUUUUGUCGAACUAUGUUUUAUAAAAAGAGACUAAGGGAGAAUAUACUUUAGGGUGUUAUAAAGGCAAAUAACCUAGGGUGGUGUUACAAUUACAUGUGAUAUAAACCAUGUAUUUUUAAUCCAAAUUUUUAUAAAUUAGUUUAACACAACAUGUGAAAUAGUGCAAGUUGAGCAUUCAAUUUUUAUACAUCAUGAUAUAUUAUACAUGUAUAUUGUUGUAUUGAUAAAUAUAAUAAUUGUGUGCAUGUGUGUUCAUCUGCAUAUGUUUUAUACCUUUAACAUGAUGUAUAAUUAAACACCUCUUAUUUGUGUAUUUUAAAGUACUCUGGUACAAAUGCAGAUUAUUUUCCUCGUGGCCAUUAAAAUUAAUCGAUGGAGCUUUGCAUGUGAAUGAAGUAUUGACAUGUGGUUAUAUGUAUUUUAAUAGUCUUGUUUUUUAAACAAAGUUCAAUAA
This 790-nucleotide long non-coding RNA is filed under the name Trifolium pratense (red clover). Its description in RNAcentral is "long non-coding RNA (TPRA_LNC008959)". Lineage: Eukaryota; Viridiplantae; Streptophyta; Magnoliopsida; Fabales; Fabaceae. The record is from RNAcentral.